GAUGAACGCUGGCGGCGUGCCUAACACAUGCAAGUCGAGCGGACGGACGCUACGGGUUACUCGAUGAGGUUACGGGCGGGUGAGUGAUGAAUACGUUGCUACCCUCUUUAGGAUAAUCAGAUAACAUGGGGGAUCCUGAGCUAUAAGACGAUGAUAUGUAGAAGGUCAGGGUUCAAAGGUGAUCGGCGUGGUUGCUGUUCCUAGUCGAUAGGCCCGCGCUGGAUUAGCUAGUUGGUAAGGGAACGGCGUACCAAGGCGACGAUGCGUAGCCGAGCUGAGAGGGUGAUCGGCCACACUGGAACUGAGACACGGUCCAGACUCCUACGGGAGGCAGCAGUAGGGAAUCUUCGGCAAUGGGCGAAAGCCUGACGCAGCAAGGCCGCGUGUGUGAUGAAGGUCUUCGGAUCGUAAAGCUCUGUUAUUAGGGAAGAACCUCUGUGUGCAGAAACGUGGCCAUCUUGACGGUACCUACAGAAGAAGCGCCGGCUAACUACGUG
Molecule: ribosomal RNA, 497 nt
Filed under: uncultured bacterium
Lineage: Bacteria
Description: partial 16S ribosomal RNA
Rfam family: Bacterial small subunit ribosomal RNA
Source: RNAcentral